This 522-nucleotide ribosomal RNA is filed under the name uncultured bacterium. RNAcentral describes it as "bacterial SSU rRNA". It matches the Rfam family "Bacterial small subunit ribosomal RNA", at positions 28 to 535 of the family's 1533-position model. The record is from RNAcentral.
GAUGAACGCUAGCGGCAGGCCUAACACAUGCAAGUCGAGGGGCAUCAUGGCGUAGCAAUACGCUGAUGGCGACCGGCGCACGGGUGCGUAACGCGUAUGGAACCUACCCACCGCAGGGGGAUAACCCGCCGAAAGGCGGACUAAUACCCCAUGGUUCCCCGACCCUGCCUGGGGUUGGGGGUAAAGCCUACGGGCGGCGGUGGAUGGCCCUGCGUGCCAUUAGCUGGCUGGUGGGGUAACGGCCCACCAGGGCGACGAUGGCUAGGGGGUCUGAGAGGACGAUCCCCCACACUGGUACUGAGACACGGACCAGACUCCUACGGGAGGCAGCAGUGAGGAAUAUUGGUCAAUGGGCGGAAGCCUGAACCAGCCAUGCCGCGUGAGUGAAGAAGGCCUUCGGUUGUAAGCUCUUUCGGUCGGGGAAGGAAAUACGCAUCUCCUAAUACGGGGUGUGGAUGACGGUACCCGAAUAAGAAGCACCGGCUAACUACGUGCCAGCAGCCGCGGUAAAAUCACGUGUAC